UGCAAGUCGAACGCUGAAGCUCCGCCUUGCUGGGGUGGAUGAGUGGCGAACGGGUGAGUAAUACGUGAGUAACCUGCCCUUGACUCUGGGAUAAGCCUGGGAAACCGGGUCUAAUACUGGAUACGACGUCCUGCCGCAUGGUGGGGCGUGGAAAGGGUUUUACUGGUUUUGGAUGGGCUCACGGCCUAUCAGCUUGUUGGUGGGGUAAUGGCCUACCAAGGCGACGACGGGUAGCCGGCCUGAGAGGGUGACCGGCCACACUGGGACUGAGACACGGCCCAGACUCCUACGGGAGGCAGCAGUGGGGAAUAUUGCACAAUGGGCGGAAGCCUGAUGCAGCGACGCCGCGUGAGGGAUGACGGCCUUCGGGUUGUAAACCUCUUUCAGCAGGGAAGAAGCCACAAGUGACGGUACCUGCAGAAGAAGCGCCGGCUAACUACGUGCCAGCAGCCGCGGUAAUACGUAGGGCGCAAGCGUUGUCCGGAAUUAUUGGGCGUAAAGAGCUCGUAGGCGGUUUGUCGCGUCUGCUGUGAAAGCCCGGGGCUCAACCCCGGGUCUGCAGUGGGUACGGGCAGACUAGAGUGCAGUAGGGGAGACUGGAAUUCCUGGUGUAGCGGUGAAAUGCGCAGAUAUCAGGAGGAACACCGAUGGCGAAGGCAGGUCUCUGGGCUGUUACUGACGCUNAGGAGCGAAAGCAUGGGGAGCGAACAGGAUUAGAUACCCUGGUAGUCCAUGCCGUAAACGUUGGGCACUAGGUGU
RNAcentral lists this ribosomal RNA (759 nucleotides) under bacterium Ss111. RNAcentral describes it as "bacterial SSU rRNA". It matches the Rfam family "Bacterial small subunit ribosomal RNA", at positions 56 to 823 of the family's 1533-position model. The record is from RNAcentral.